RNAcentral lists this ribosomal RNA (607 nucleotides) under Klebsiella pneumoniae. RNAcentral describes it as "bacterial SSU rRNA". It matches the Rfam family "Bacterial small subunit ribosomal RNA", at positions 1 to 599 of the family's 1533-position model. The record is from RNAcentral. Lineage: Bacteria; Pseudomonadati; Pseudomonadota; Gammaproteobacteria; Enterobacterales; Enterobacteriaceae.
AAAUUGAAGAGUUUGAUCAUGGCUCAGAUUGAACGCUGGCGGCAGGCCUAACACAUGCAAGUCGAGCGGUAGCACAGAGAGCGUGCUCUCGGGUGACGAGCGGCGGACGGGUGAGUAAUGUCUGGGAAACUGCCUGAUGGAGGGGGAUAACUACUGGAAACGGUAGCUAAUACCGCAUAACGUCGCAAGACCAAAGUGGGGGACCUUCGGGCCUCAUGCCAUCAGAUGUGCCCAGAUGGGAUUAGCUAGUAGGUGAGGUAACGGCUCACCUAGGCGACGAUCCCUAGCUGGUCUGAGAGGAUGACCAGCCACACUGGAACUGAGACACGGUCCAGACUCCUACGGGAGGCAGCAGUGGGGAAUAUUGCACAAUGGGCGCAAGCCUGAUGCAGCCAUGCCGCGUGUGUGAAGAAGGCCUUCGGGUUGUAAAGCACUUUCAGCGGGGAGGAAGGCGUUAAGGUUAAUAACCUUGGCGAUUGACGUUACCCGCAGAAGAAGCACCGGCUAACUCCGUGCCAGCAGCCGCGGUAAUACGGAGGGUGCAAGCGUUAAUCGGAAUUACUGGGCGUAAAGCGCACGCAGGCGGUCUGUCAAGUCGGAUGUGAAA